Picea glauca (white spruce) is the source of this 122-nucleotide non-coding RNA. The record is from Rfam. NCBI's taxonomy places the organism in Eukaryota, Viridiplantae, Streptophyta, Pinopsida, Pinales, Pinaceae.
AUGUAAUGUAAUUCCUAUAGUAUUAAUACAUCAGAUCUCAUUAUAAAUUUGCAGUUAUGCACGCUUAGGCUAGAGUAGUACUAGGAUGGGUGACCUCUGAGGAGGUCCUAGAGUUUUACAUG